Non-coding RNA from Cordylochernes scorpioides, 75 nucleotides. The record is from the annotation of a GenBank genome assembly. NCBI's taxonomy places the organism in Eukaryota, Metazoa, Arthropoda, Arachnida, Pseudoscorpiones, Chernetidae.
GCCAGGGUAGCCUUAGUGGACAUGGCAUCUGCCUCGUUAGCGGAACACUGUGGGUUCGAUUCCCAUCCUUGAACA